GACGAACGCUGGCGGCGUGCCUAAUACAUGCAAGUUGAGCGAUGAAGAUUGGUGCUUGCACCAAUUUGAAUAGCAGCGAACGGGUGAGUAACGCGUGGGGAAUCUGCCUUUGAGCGGGGGACAACAUUUGGAAACGAAUGCUAAUACCGCAUAACAACUUUAAACAUAAGUUUUAAGUUUGAAAGAUGCAAUUGCAUCACUCAAAGAUGAUCCCGCGUGGUAUUAGCUAGUUGGUAAGGUAAAGGCUUACCAAGGCGAGGAUACAUAGCCGACCUGAGAGGGGGACGGGCAAAAUGGGAAUGGGGAAACGCCCCAAACUCUUAGGGAAGGAAGAGGAAGGAAUCUUCGGGAAAGGACCAAAGGCUGGACGGAGAAAGGCGGGUGAGGGAAGAAGGGUUUCCGGUUGGAAAAACUUGUUGGUAGGGAAGAAAGAUGGGGAGAAUUGACUGUGCAUCAAGUGACGGUACCUACUCAGAAAGGGACGGCUAACUACGUG
This 496-nucleotide ribosomal RNA is filed under the name uncultured bacterium. RNAcentral's name for it is "partial 16S ribosomal RNA". It matches the Rfam family "Bacterial small subunit ribosomal RNA", at positions 28 to 507 of the family's 1533-position model. The record is from RNAcentral.